RNAcentral lists this ribosomal RNA (387 nucleotides) under uncultured bacterium. RNAcentral describes it as "bacterial SSU rRNA". It matches the Rfam family "Bacterial small subunit ribosomal RNA", at positions 30 to 424 of the family's 1533-position model. The record is from RNAcentral.
AUUGAACGCUGGCGGAAUGCUUUACACAUGCAAGUCGAACGGUAGAGGGGGCAACCCCUUGAGAGUGGCGAACGGGUGAGUAAUAUAUCGGAACGUGCCCAGUCGUGGGGAUAACGUAGCGAAAGUUACGCUAAUACCGCAUACGAUCUAAGGAUGAAAGCGGGGGAUCGCAAGACCUCGCGCGAUUGGAGCGGCCGAUAUCAGAUUAGGUAGUUGGUGAGGUAAAGGCUCACCAAGCCAACGAUCUGUAGCUGGUCUGAGAGGACGACCAGCCACACUGGAACUGAGACACGGUCCAGACUCCUACGGGAGGCAGCAGUGGGGAAUUUUGGACAAUGGGCGCAAGCCUGAUCCAGCAAUGCCGCGUGCAGGAUGAAGGCCUCGGUU